GCGGUUUCUUUUUCACAUAACUGUAGUAUCUUAGAUCUGCUUGUGAAGAACUUUGAUUGUCUGAAAAAAUGAUUGAUGCAGAUAAAAAGUGAAUCCAAACACUUUGUGGUUUUGCUUUACCUUCUGGAACAUAUACAGCUUUGAAAUGCAAAAAUGUUGUUGAUUUUUGUGAGAUAUUUUUGUGGGAUCCGGUUGGGGUACGGUAGUGACCAAGAACACAAGAAGCGGUCACACUUAUUAAUCGUCUGUCUCUGACCGAACAUAUCGAUAGCAGGAGUACUCGGUUGCAACGGGAGAAAGAGGGACAACGGCCAGCGACAGUCGCCGCCAGAGUAUCGUAAUAUAAUACAUAAUACUACCAUUGGAUAAAGUUUGAGCUCAAUAUUUCACAAGGGAGACGCGCCAUUGCAAGAAGGCAAGGUAAAGCGCAGGAAGCGAUAGGCGGCGACCAACUCAACCAAUACUACCAUACACAAGGGGGUAAAGACAAUCUGGAGCAAGGAAGGGCUGAGAAAGAGAUUGUCGAUACGUGCUGUAGAACUUGGACAAGAAGCAUCUCGUGGACCGGUGGUGCAGGCAGCGAAGACGCAGAGACAAGACAUUGGAUCUGGUUGCGUCAUCGGUGGAUGUGUGCAGGAACGUAUAGGCCAAGGGCUGGUGCACGAAUUUUGGCAGACCAGGUGCUAAUAGGUGCUCCUCAUUCAAGGAACACCUGUUUGUCAGUCGUUUGCCAAACGUUGCCGAAAGAGGUUGUGUAGCUCACGAUUUUUUCAUUGUCUUCUUAUUUUACUUCAUUGUUUACGAAGACAAUGAAAUAUGCAUGCAACUACUAUUCUAUUUUGGAUGUGUAAUGAAAUGUGUAUGUAAUAGAAUCUAUAUUCAGUUAAAUCUUUUGUUUUUGUAAAAUGGAGAGAAGCGAGAUCUUGGCAUUGCGAGUUUGAGAGUUGCGUUGGAAGUUGUAUGAGUUGCAAUUGAGUACGACUGGAUUAAAGGUGGAAUUGCAACAGAGAUUAUUGUCACAUUACGAAGUAUAUAUCGAGGGUGAGUCAGAGACGGAGGAUAAUGGUGAGAAGACAUUAUAUUGGUGUCAUCCGUGUCAACUACAAUCAAUCGACAAAACAGAGCAGGCUGGCAUCAAGGGCUAGGAGUUGAGAGACCAGGUAGAUCGUGGUUCACCCUUAAAGAUGUCGAGGGCAGCGUAAGUCAGUUCUCAGGAUCGAAGUCCCCGGAUAUCGAUCAAUGGAUAGGAGAGUUGGAAGAUUGUGCAGCUACAGUUGAGUUCGAAGUCGAGAUUAUUUUCUAUAGCAGAACUUUUUUUUAAGAAUUUAUUAUGUAUGAAUUUGUAUACCCGGCACUCGAAGAGUAAAUAGGGUAGAGACACCAAAUGUUGGCUCCGGACUGCUGUAUGCUCACACUGAAACCAGUGUAUUUUAAAAAUGAGCCACGCCCCCUUCCGCCUCCGCAAAAAGGCGAAAACCUCCCAAAUCUACAAUUUUGAAGAUAAAAGAAAACUAAAAACGCCGUUCCGUAGAGAAUGGCCAUAUCUAUCAGAUCACCAAAUUGGAUUGGAUCAUUAUUACAGCCAGAAAGAAGAAAUUAAUUAGCAGUGCCUAAACCCACACUGUCCUGCAGCUUUUGUUGUUCUUUUCACAUUCUUUCAUUCACACUCUGCUUCACUCGGCCCCUGCUGAGGUACAGAUGCACUAUUGUCCCAAUGACCAGUUUUGGUGGCUGUUUACGCCAAUUAGCCAAAUUAUGGCCCGGAG
This 1766-nucleotide long non-coding RNA is filed under the name Drosophila guanche. The record is from RNAcentral. Lineage: Eukaryota; Metazoa; Arthropoda; Insecta; Diptera; Drosophilidae.